RNAcentral lists this ribosomal RNA (2610 nucleotides) under Vibrio cholerae. RNAcentral describes it as "partial 23S ribosomal RNA". It matches the Rfam family "Bacterial large subunit ribosomal RNA". Lineage: Bacteria; Pseudomonadati; Pseudomonadota; Gammaproteobacteria; Vibrionales; Vibrionaceae. The record is from RNAcentral.
UUAAGUGACUAAGCGUACACGGUGGAUGCCUGGGCAGUCAGAGGCGAUGAAGGACGUACUAACUUGCGAUAAGCGCAGAUAAGGCAGUAAGAGCCGUUUGAGUCUGCGAUUUCCGAAUGGGGAAACCCAACUGCAUAAGCAGUUACUGUUAACUGAAUACAUAGGUUAACAGAGCAAACCGGGGGAACUGAAACAUCUAAGUACCCCGAGGAGAAGAAAUCAACCGAGAUUCCGGUAGUAGCGGCGAGCGAACCUGGAUUAGCCCUUAAGCACUCGGUGAAGUAGGUGAACAAGCUGGAAAGCUUGGCGAUACAGGGUGAUAGCCCCGUAACCGACGCUUCAUCGAGCGUGAAAUCGAGUAGGGCGGGACACGUGAUAUCCUGUCUGAAUAUGGGGGGACCAUCCUCCAAGGCUAAAUACUCCUGACUGACCGAUAGUGAACCAGUACCGUGAGGGAAAGGCGAAAAGAACCCCUGUGAGGGGAGUGAAAUAGAACCUGAAACCGUGUACGUACAAGCAGUAGGAGCACCUUCGUGGUGUGACUGCGUACCUUUUGUAUAAUGGGUCAGCGACUUAUAUUCAGUGGCAAGGUUAACCGUAUAGGGGAGCCGUAGCGAAAGCGAGUCUUAACUGGGCGCUCAGUCUCUGGAUAUAGACCCGAAACCGGGUGAUCUAGCCAUGGGCAGGUUGAAGGUUGAGUAACAUCAACUGGAGGACCGAACCGACUAAUGUUGAAAAAUUAGCGGAUGACUUGUGGCUAGGGGUGAAAGGCCAAUCAAACUCGGAGAUAGCUGGUUCUCCCCGAAAGCUAUUUAGGUAGCGCCUCGGACGAAUACUACUGGGGGUAGAGCACUGUUAAGGCUAGGGGGUCAUCCCGACUUACCAACCCUUUGCAAACUCCGAAUACCAGUAAGUACUAUCCGGGAGACACACGGCGGGUGCUAACGUCCGUCGUGGAGAGGGAAACAACCCAGACCGCCAGCUAAGGUCCCAAAGUAUUGCUAAGUGGGAAACGAUGUGGGAAGGCUCAGACAGCUAGGAUGUUGGCUUAGAAGCAGCCAUCAUUUAAAGAAAGCGUAAUAGCUCACUAGUCGAGUCGGCCUGCGCGGAAGAUGUAACGGGGCUAAGCAAUACACCGAAGCUGCGGCAAUAUCUUUUAGAUAUUGGGUAGGGGAGCGUUCUGUAAGCCGUUGAAGGUGAAUCGUAAGGUUUGCUGGAGGUAUCAGAAGUGCGAAUGCUGACAUGAGUAACGACAAAGGGGGUGAAAAACCUCCUCGCCGGAAGACCAAGGGUUCCUGUCCAACGUUAAUCGGGGCAGGGUGAGUCGACCCCUAAGGUGAGGCCGAAAGGCGUAAUCGAUGGGAAACGGGUUAAUAUUCCCGUACUUCUGACUAUUGCGAUGGGGGGACGGAGAAGGCUAGGUGGGCCAGGCGACGGUUGUCCUGGUUCAAGUGCGUAGGCUUGAGAGUUAGGUAAAUCCGGCUCUCUCUAAGGCUGAGACACGACGUCGAGCUGCUACGGCAGUGAAGUCAUUGAUGCCAUGCUUCCAGGAAAAGCCUCUAAGCUUCAGAUAGUCAGGAAUCGUACCCCAAACCGACACAGGUGGUCGGGUAGAGAAUACCAAGGCGCUUGAGAGAACUCGGGUGAAGGAACUAGGCAAAAUGGUACCGUAACUUCGGGAGAAGGUACGCUCUUGAUGGUGAAGUCCCUCGCGGAUGGAGCUGACGAGAGUCGCAGAUACCAGGUGGCUGCAACUGUUUAUUAAAAACACAGCACUGUGCAAAAUCGCAAGAUGACGUAUACGGUGUGACGCCUGCCCGGUGCCGGAAGGUUAAUUGAUGGGGUUAGCGCAAGCGAAGCUCUUGAUCGAAGCCCCGGUAAACGGCGGCCGUAACUAUAACGGUCCUAAGGUAGCGAAAUUCCUUGUCGGGUAAGUUCCGACCUGCACGAAUGGCGUAAUGAUGGCCACGCUGUCUCCACCCGAGACUCAGUGAAAUUGAAAUCGCUGUGAAGAUGCAGUGUACCCGCGGCUAGACGGAAAGACCCCGUGAACCUUUACUACAGCUUGGCACUGAACAUUGAACCUACAUGUGUAGGAUAGGUGGGAGGCUAUGAAGACGUGACGCCAGUUGCGUUGGAGCCGUCCUUGAAAUACCACCCUUGUAUGUUUGAUGUUCUAACUUAGACCCAUUAUCUGGGUUGAGGACAGUGCCUGGUGGGUAGUUUGACUGGGGCGGUCUCCUCCCAAAGAGUAACGGAGGAGCACGAAGGUGGGCUAAUCACGGUUGGACAUCGUGAGGUUAGUGCAAUGGCAUAAGCCCGCUUAACUGCGAGAAUGACGGUUCGAGCAGGUGCGAAAGCAGGUCAUAGUGAUCCGGUGGUUCUGUAUGGAAGGGCCAUCGCUCAACGGAUAAAAGGUACUCCGGGGAUAACAGGCUGAUACCGCCCAAGAGUUCAUAUCGACGGCGGUGUUUGGCACCUCGAUGUCGGCUCAUCACAUCCUGGGGCUGAAGUCGGUCCCAAGGGUAUGGCUGUUCGCCAUUUAAAGUGGUACGCGAGCUGGGUUUAGAACGUCGUGAGACAGUUCGGUCCCUAUCUGCCGUGGGGGUU